AUUGAACGCUGGCGGCAGGCUUAACACAUGCAAGUCGAGCGGAGAGAGGUAGCUUGCUACUGAUCUUAGCGGCGGACGGGUGAGUAAUGCUUAGGAAUCUGCCUAUUAGUGGGGGACAACAUUUCGAAAGGAAUGCUAAUACCGCAUACGUCCUACGGGAGAAAGCAGGGGAUCUUCGGACCUUGCGCUAAUAGAUGAGCCUAAGUCGGAUUAGCUAGUUGGUGGGGUAAAGGCCUACCAAGGCGACGAUCUGUAGCGGGUCUGAGAGGAUGAUCCGCCACACUGGAACUGAGACACGGCCCAGACUCCUACGGGAGGCAGCAGUGGGGAAUAUUGGACAAUGGGCGCAAGCCUGAUCCAGCCAUGCGCGUGUGUGAAGAAGGCCUUAUGGUUGUAAAGCACGUUAAGCGAGGAGGAGGCUACUUUAGUUAAUACCGAGAGAUAGUGGACGUUACUCGCAGAAUAAGCACCGGCUAACUAUGUG
Molecule: ribosomal RNA, 484 nt
Filed under: uncultured bacterium
Lineage: Bacteria
Description: partial 16S ribosomal RNA
Rfam family: Bacterial small subunit ribosomal RNA
Source: RNAcentral